AUUGAACGCUGGCGGCAUGCCUUACACAUGCAAGUCGAACGGCAGCACGGGAGCAAUCCUGGUGGCGAGUGGCGAACGGGUGAGUAAAGUAUCGGAACGUGCCCAGUCGUGGGGGAUAACGUAGCGAAAGUUACGCUAAUACCGCAUACGAUCUAUGGAUGAAAGCGGGGGAUCGCAAGACCUCGCGCGAUUGGAGCGGCCGAUAUCAGAUUAGGUAGUUGGUGGGGUAAAGGCUCACCAAGCCGACGAUCUGCAGCUGGUCUGAGAGGACGACCAGCAACACUGGGACUGAGACACGGCCCAGACUCCUACGGGAGGCAGCAGUGGGGAAUUUUGGACAAUGGGCGAAAGCCUGAUCCAGCCAUGCCGCGUGCAGGAUGAAGGCCUUCGGGUUGUAAACUGCUUUUGUACGGAACGAAAAGGUUUGGGCUAAUAAGCUGGGCUCAUGACGGUACCGUAAGAAUAAGCACCGGCUAACUACGUGCCAGCAGCCGCCGUAA
RNAcentral lists this ribosomal RNA (500 nucleotides) under uncultured bacterium. RNAcentral describes it as "partial 16S ribosomal RNA". It matches the Rfam family "Bacterial small subunit ribosomal RNA", at positions 30 to 523 of the family's 1533-position model. The record is from RNAcentral.